This is a long non-coding RNA of Raphanus sativus (radish), 789 nucleotides long. RefSeq lists it as uncharacterized. NCBI's taxonomy places the organism in Eukaryota, Viridiplantae, Streptophyta, Magnoliopsida, Brassicales, Brassicaceae. The transcript is spliced from 3 exons. The record is from RefSeq and is a predicted model, not a curated record.
AUUAGAGUUUAUUCUGUGUCGACCUCAAUCGAGGUCGCUCCUCUUUCAUCACUCUUCGUCUCCUACAAACUCAUAGGUAACCGUUUGAAGCUCUCUGUAAGGUAACCGUUUGAAGCUCUCUGUAUAAAUGGCUUCCUUCUCUGCGAUGAAUAGCCACAAUUCUACGAGAUCCCUAAGAAAAACUUCAUCAAGCUUCGAUUCCAGUAAUGACUACUUUUUGCAUGCUUCUUCGAUUUUGGGAGGCUCCGAACGUCAAGAAAGGGGGAGAACUGAUGAGUGUCAACAUACUCUUCCUGGAUAAGACGGCGCUUGAUGUGAAAAGAGGGUGAGCUCACCUUUCCAGCUUCUUGAUGUUGUCUGUGUGAUAAGCUUCUACAAUCGUUUUAACUCACACUCAUAACAAGCACUCUCUUAUUGGUUUUGUUCACCUCUCUUCCAAGGUUCGUCCAUCCCUGGAACACAUUCAAUCACCUUCGUUACUAGCAUUAACCAAUUUGCGGUAGGUUGCCCUCCGUUCCAAGAAAAAGAUUGUCAGUGAUAGUUUUUACCGUGCACUGUAUCUAAACUUAUACUUCCCUGCCAUGAAUUCUUCCAAGGCAAGCUAAAUUUUAAAGCUUCUGCUUUCCUAUGUUUCCGUCACGUCGUUUUACUUUUAGUUCAUCACUGUCUUAUUAGAAUUUGGUGGAUUGCAGAGUUGGUCUUACAGUGUUGGCGUAUACUCCUUUAGUGAUCUUGAUUAGUAACGUAACACAUAAAGAGUGACAGUGUCAAAUCACUGUAAUGAUUAUU